This 372-nucleotide unclassified non-coding RNA is filed under the name Hevea brasiliensis (rubber tree). Lineage: Eukaryota; Viridiplantae; Streptophyta; Magnoliopsida; Malpighiales; Euphorbiaceae. The record is from RNAcentral.
UUUCUUGAUCUCAUCCUUUGAUUACUUCUCUACACAACCAUGGAUUUUAUUCCUCUCAGAGUCACAAAAACCUUGUUGAAAUUGAAUGAUAAAGGACUCAAAGGUCUGUGUUUAUGGUUUCAAGAGACCUAUUCACUGCCCCACAAAUGUAACGAGUCACCAUUAUUUGUGACCGUUGUGAAUUAUGAAGAGGAUAAAAAGAACAUUUGAGUUGCUUCGGAUUCAAGAUAUAAAUGAAGAAGAUGUUGAUGUUGAAGAAAAUCAUCUGUCAUAUGAUGAGAAACUAGAAACUCAAGAGAGUGUUGUUGAUUUUAGUAAUAUCUGCUUCUCCAUCAAAAAAAAGCUCGCAAUUGGUACCUUUUGAUCAAUAGG